GCACUAGGACUUCUAGCAGUAGCAGGAAAUUUAGUGUUGAAGACAUUGUUACAUUAAUUAUUUUCCACCAUUAUAUUAUUAGGGAUCCGGUACUCAUGACAAUAGACAAUAAGAUGUGUCUUCAGAUACAUGUUUCCAUGAUCACACAAGGUGACAAUUCUCCAAAUAUCCUUAUCCUACCUAUUCUCUAUAACCAUCCCUGUGGCAUUAAGAAACCUCAUUAUUCUUUUCUACAACUGCCUUCUCUGCAUUUUGUUUUUAUGCCCUUUGAAAGAAAAAAAAAACAUAAUAUGGGUAUUAAUUGUGCCCAU
RNAcentral lists this long non-coding RNA (311 nucleotides) under Rattus norvegicus (Norway rat). RNAcentral's name for it is "long non-coding RNA NONRATT030785". The record is from RNAcentral. Lineage: Eukaryota; Metazoa; Chordata; Mammalia; Rodentia; Muridae.